Molecule: ribosomal RNA, 2291 nt
Filed under: Escherichia coli
Lineage: Bacteria; Pseudomonadati; Pseudomonadota; Gammaproteobacteria; Enterobacterales; Enterobacteriaceae
Description: bacterial LSU rRNA
Rfam family: Bacterial large subunit ribosomal RNA
Source: RNAcentral
GUGUGACUGCGUACCUUUUGUAUAAUGGGUCAGCGACUUAUAUUCUGUAGCAAGGUUAACCGAAUAGGGGAGCCGAAGGGAAACCGAGUCUUAACUGGGCGUUAAGUUGCAGGGUAUAGACCCGAAACCCGGUGAUCUAGCCAUGGGCAGGUUGAAGGUUGGGUAACACUAACUGGAGGACCGAACCGACUAAUGUUGAAAAAUUAGCGGAUGACUUGUGGCUGGGGGUGAAAGGCCAAUCAAACCGGGAGAUAGCUGGUUCUCCCCGAAAGCUAUUUAGGUAGCGCCUCGUGAAUUCAUCUCCGGGGGUAGAGCACUGUUUCGGCAAGGGGGUCAUCCCGACUUACCAACCCGAUGCAAACUGCGAAUACCGGAGAAUGUUAUCACGGGAGACACACGGCGGGUGCUAACGUCCGUCGUGAAGAGGGAAACAACCCAGACCGCCAGCUAAGGUCCCAAAGUCAUGGUUAAGUGGGAAACGAUGUGGGAAGGCCCAGACAGCCAGGAUGUUGGCUUAGAAGCAGCCAUCAUUUAAAGAAAGCGUAAUAGCUCACUGGUCGAGUCGGCCUGCGCGGAAGAUGUAACGGGGCUAAACCAUGCACCGAAGCUGCGGCAGCGACGCUNAUGCUGGAGGUAUCAGAAGUGCGAAUGCUGACAUAAGUAACGAUAAAGCGGGUGAAAAGCCCGCUCGCCGGAAGACCAAGGGUUCCUGUCCAACGUUAAUCGGGGCAGGGUGAGUCGACCCCUAAGGCGAGGCCGAAAGGCGUAGUCGAUGGGAAACAGGUUAAUAUUCCUGUACUUGGUGUUACUGCGAAGGGGGGACGGAGAAGGCUAUGUUGGCCGGGCGACGGUUGUCCCGGUUUAAGCGUGUAGGCUGGUUUUCCAGGCAAAUCCGGAAAAUCAAGGCUGAGGCGUGAUGACGAGGCACUACGGUGCUGAAGCAACAAAUGCCCUGCUUCCAGGAAAAGCCUCUAAGCAUCAGGUAACAUCAAAUCGUACCCCAAACCGACACAGGUGGUCAGGUAGAGAAUACCAAGGCGCUUGAGAGAACUCGGGUGAAGGAACUAGGCAAAAUGGUGCCGUAACUUCGGGAGAAGGCACGCUGAUAUGUAGGUGAAGUNAUGGAGCUGAAAUCAGUCGAAGAUACCAGCUGGCUGCAACUGUUUAUUAAAAACACAGCACUGUGCAAACACGAAAGUGGACGUAUACGGUGUGACGCCUGCCCGGUGCCGGAAGGUUAAUUGAUGGGGUCAGCGCAAGCGAAGCUCUUGAUCGAAGCCCCGGUAAACGGCGGCCGUAACUAUAACGGUCCUAAGGUAGCGAAAUUCCUUGUCGGGUAAGUUCCGACCUGCACGAAUGGCGUAAUGAUGGCCAGGCUGUCUCCACCCGAGACUCAGUGAAAUUGAACUCGCUGUGAAGAUGCAGUGUACCCGCGGCAAGACGGAAAGACCCCGUGAACCUUUACUAUAGCUUGACACUGAACAUUGAGCCUUGAUGUGUAGGAUAGGUGGGAGGCUUUGAAGUGUGGACGCCAGUCUGCAUGGAGCCGACCUUGAAAUACCACCCUUUAAUGUUUGAUGUUCUAACGUNGACCCGUAAUCCGGGUUGCGGACAGUGUCUGGUGGGUAGUUUGACUGGGGCGGUCUCCUCCUAAAGAGUAACGGAGGAGCACGAAGGUUGGCUAAUCCUGGUCGGACAUCAGGAGGUUAGUGCAAUGGCAUAAGCCAGCUUGACUGCGAGCGUGACGGCGCGAGCAGGUGCGAAAGCAGGUCAUAGUGAUCCGGUGGUUCUGAAUGGAAGGGCCAUCGCUCAACGGAUAAAAGGUACUCCGGGGAUAACAGGCUGAUACCGCCCAAGAGUUCAUAUCGACGGCGGUGUUUGGCACCUCGAUGUCGGCUCAUCACAUCCUGGGGCUGAAGUAGGUCCCAAGGGUAUGGCUGUUCGCCAUUUAAAGUGGUACGCGAGCUGGGUUUAGAACGUCGUGAGACAGUUCGGUCCCUAUCUGCCGUGGGCGCUGGAGAACUGAGGGGGGCUGCUCCUAGUACGAGAGGACCGGAGUGGACGCAUCACUGGUGUUCGGGUUGUCAUGCCAAUGGCACUGCCCGGUAGCUAAAUGCGGAAGAGAUAAGUGCUGAAAGCAUCUAAGCACGAAACUUGCCCCGAGAUGAGUUCUCCCUGACUCCUUGAGAGUCCUGAAGGAACGUUGAAGACGACGACGUUGAUAGGCCGGGUGUGUAAGCGCAGCGAUGCGUUGAGCUAACCGGUACUAAUGAACCGUGAGGCUUAACCUU